UGUGAAAUGCUUAGAAGUGUUUUGCC
This 26-nucleotide non-coding RNA is filed under the name Rattus norvegicus (Norway rat). The record is from RNAcentral. Lineage: Eukaryota; Metazoa; Chordata; Mammalia; Rodentia; Muridae.